GAAAUUUGUGUUUUAAAAAGAAUGAAAAGAAAAGAGACAAGAUGAGAAAUGAAAAAAAAAAUUAAAAAAAAGUUGUGAAUAAAGGAGUCAAGAAGAGGAUUGAAUUAGAGGUUUUAGGUGUGAUUUGAUUGUGUUUCACUUGUUCUCUAUUGCUCCUCUAUUUCUUUUGGUUUGUAACUUCUUAUCCAUAUUUAUCCUCCCUUUUC
This 206-nucleotide long non-coding RNA is filed under the name Vigna radiata. RNAcentral describes it as "long non-coding RNA (VRAD_LNC010126)". Lineage: Eukaryota; Viridiplantae; Streptophyta; Magnoliopsida; Fabales; Fabaceae. The record is from RNAcentral.